UUUUAAAUGAUAUUGUGGAGAAUUUGUAAAGCUAUGAAUCGAACUCACAAGGAUUUUCAUGACGGUCGAGAGGUGAUGGUUCAACAAAGUCAACUGAGAUGACAAGGAUCUUGUAGGAAUGAUUGUGAGGCUGAUCCUUCACAAAAUGACGACGACGAUCUUCUUGGAUGACUGGAGCGAGACAAAGGAGACUGAGAUGAUUUCUAGGUUAUGUGUUCUCUCUUACUUGUCAUUGAGCCGUGGGAAAAAUCUUGUGGAUUGAUUACAAUUUAGAGCUAUAUUUGUUGUUUCAUAUAUCUUAGAAGAGAUUAUGUAGGUUUGGCUAGUAAACUAUCAUUGAGCCGUGAAAUUUCUGCUGAUUUGUGUGUUUGUGAUGAUAUUGUUGCUUUGAGAACUCAUGUAUCUAUCAGGAUGGGAUUUGUGACAUGGAAUUUCAAUUUGAUAUUU
Molecule: long non-coding RNA, 447 nt
Organism: Asparagus officinalis (garden asparagus)
Lineage: Eukaryota; Viridiplantae; Streptophyta; Magnoliopsida; Asparagales; Asparagaceae
Exons: 2
Source: RefSeq, a predicted model, not a curated record